This 467-nucleotide ribosomal RNA is filed under the name uncultured bacterium. RNAcentral's name for it is "partial 16S ribosomal RNA". It matches the Rfam family "Bacterial small subunit ribosomal RNA", at positions 28 to 506 of the family's 1533-position model. The record is from RNAcentral.
GACGAACGCUGGCGGCGUGCUUAACACAUGCAAGUCGAACGGAAAGGCCCUGCUUUUGUGGGGUGCUCGAGUGGCGAACGGGUGAGUAACACGUGAGUAACCUGCCCUUGACUUUGGGAUAACUUCAGGAAACUGGGGCUAAUACCGGAUAGGAGCUCCUGCUGCAUGGGGGGGGUUGGAAAGUUUCGGCGGUUGGGGAUGGACUCGCGGCUUAUCAGCUUGUUGGUGGGGUAGUGGCUUACCAAGGAUUUGACGGGUAGCCGGCCUGAGAGGGUGACCGGCCACAUUGGGAAUGGGAUGCGGCCCAGACGCAUACGGGAGGCAGGAGUGGGGAAUAUUGCACAAUGGGCGGAAGCCUGAUGCAGCAACGCCGCGUGCGGGAUGACGGCCUUCGGGUUGUAAACCGCUUUCGCCUGUGACGAAGCGUGAGUGACGGUAAUGGGCAAAGAAGCACCGGCUAACUACGU